UACGUAGGCAGCAAGCGUUGUUCGGAGUUACUGGGCGUAAAGGGUGUGUAGGCGGUUGUUUAAGUUUGGUGUGAAAUCUCCCGGCUCAACUGGGAAGGUGCGCCGAAUACUGAAUGACUUCGAGUGCGGGAGAGGAAAGUGGAAUUCCUGGUGUAGCGGUGAAAUGCGUAGAUAUCAGGAGGAACACCGGUGGCGAAGGCGGCCAACUGGACAGAUACUGACGCUGAGACACGAAAGCGUGGGGAGCAAACAGG
RNAcentral lists this ribosomal RNA (254 nucleotides) under uncultured bacterium. RNAcentral describes it as "partial 16S ribosomal RNA". It matches the Rfam family "Bacterial small subunit ribosomal RNA", at positions 524 to 776 of the family's 1533-position model. The record is from RNAcentral.